Molecule: non-coding RNA, 30 nt
Filed under: Homo sapiens (human)
Lineage: Eukaryota; Metazoa; Chordata; Mammalia; Primates; Hominidae
Source: RNAcentral
UAUGGUGUCAGUCACCUGAUGGAGCUGAAU